Homo sapiens (human) is the source of this 2078-nucleotide long non-coding RNA. Ensembl annotates it as CACNA2D3 antisense RNA 1. Its record names the gene CACNA2D3-AS1. The record is from Ensembl. Lineage: Eukaryota; Metazoa; Chordata; Mammalia; Primates; Hominidae.
AUUCUGGCCAGACCAUGUCACUGACAGCUGCUGCAUGUGGCCUCAGCUCCCGGGAGACAACAUGCCUUCAGAAUUAGCUCGCUGGACCAGCCUGGAGCAUUCAGGCAGCUCCCCAACACCCUGCACACAAUGCCCAGACCCACUGGACCAGACAGACAGAGCCCGCCUCCAACAAGGGCACCCACCAGUGCUGAAUGGGAUCGAGUAGACGAAGCUCCCUGGAAUCUGCUCAGCGGCUCUUCGGUACCAGAGAGGGAAAUGGUCUGCGUUAAAAAUGUUCUCCUUGUCGCCAGCUUUCAGGAAGUCCCUUGAAGUGGAAAAGAAUCAGAAGAACAUGCAUCACUCAGCAGAGUAAAGGUGGGCCUGGAGCACCCCGACAGCCUUCAUCAGACAUGAAAUUCUUCAUAAACCUGACCUGGACGGUGUGAGGAGGAGCCUCUGUUGCCUGGCCCAUGGCAGGAUGCAUUGCUACUCUCUACCCUGGGUCACAGGUGCAGCCACGACUGAGCAGAAGGUGUUCGCACUCCCAGCAGCGUGCAGUGGAGCCUCCAUAUUGAACUUACACCUCGAAAACAGAGCUUCUGAAGAAUAAAACACCCAACUGCUCAUGUACAAUGGGAGACAGGCUAACAACAAUAAAUAAAUGACCUUCAUCUUUAAUUUGGGGAGCUCGUGUAAACUUCAGGACAAUAACAAAAGAGCCUUGGCGAUACUGAUGAAUCCCGGGGGUCAGAGCGUGAACUCCUGGAGACCCGCUGAAAUGCCGAGCAAGAACGUCUCUGGGGACAAGUAGAUUUCGUUGCUAUGUUGCUCAUGAACCACUAAAUGGAUUUUGUGACCUCUCCUCCAACUCCCCACAUUGAAAACUGCUGCUCUUAACUGCCUGUAGGUUUACAUAGACCGAAAAGGAGACAGCCCCAGGUAAAGAGGAAGCUGCGGCUUGAGAAGAGGAGCAACUUGCCCAGAAUCACAUGCUGAAGCAGAAGCUCCUUGGAUAACCACUCAAAGCACCCACUUUCCUGCCAACCUCGUUACAGGUGGAAGCCACGUUUCCUGUUUCAUUGUUAGUCUGCUACUCUGACCAGCCAUGUUACAGUUCAUUAAGGAAGCUUUCCCCAGAGAUUCACUGGCCACCUUAAGUUGUGUGUAUGAUUAUGGAAUGAUAGCUCGUGCUCCUAAUGGUGGCUCAUUGUCCACAUUAGAACGUGAGCCUCACCUUUUCUGGUGCACAGGCAGCCUGCAUUUCUAAGCCCCUAAUGACAUGCAACCACAGACAAGCUGGCAGUUUAAAGAGGAAGGGAGACACAGUGGAUAAACAGGUCUGUCAUUCCCAAGCAAGCAUUCAACCAGCGUAGGAAAACAGACUUGAGCAUGGAGAACCUGCAAAACAUUCUCUCUCUCUUCCUCCUCCCCUAUGUGUCAGUUUGGGUUUGGAGGGGGUGGGGGAGUGCUGUGCUUAGUUUGGGUGUCCAGAGCUCAAGCAUGAGCUGGAGAGACACUCUGGGAAGGGUAUAAAAAAGAAUCAAAUAAAUGGACUAAGGUCUCAGAAAUAUGUCCCAUGAAAAAGGCUUUUUUGCCUUAUAGGGCUUCGGGCAAAAAAGACUCCGGAGAAAUUUUCCAUCAGAGUCAUCAUGGGUAUGAAGCAAUGUAGUUGCCUAGAGGGUAGUAGGGGAAAAAAGGCUUUUACCACAACAGAAGGGAUUGUAGUUAGAUUCAAAGCAGCAUCUAUGGGGCAGUACUCACAACAAUACCAUGCAGACAAACAUCUGUUUAGCAGCUACUAUGUGCAAGGCACUCCCUAUCUUUUCUGCACCCCCCGAGGAGGAUAACCCAUAUACUAUGCGUCACUGAAAUAGAGUCUUCAAGGACUCCUGGACUCAAGGACUUAAGGGCUCUCUCCAUGGAAUAUCCAAGUGUCAAGACCACGGCUCUGUGGGCCAGGCUGCCUGAGUUGGAAUCCACACUCUAUGUCCUUAGGCCAUUACAUCCAUUCUCUGCCUCAGUUUCCUCACCUGUACAAUGGAGAUAAAACACCCAUUUCAUAGGUUCACUGUGAUAAAUAAAUAAGUUCACUCAUG